Molecule: small nucleolar RNA, 107 nt
Filed under: Medicago truncatula (barrel medic)
Lineage: Eukaryota; Viridiplantae; Streptophyta; Magnoliopsida; Fabales; Fabaceae
Description: snoRNA gene9883
Rfam family: Plant small nucleolar RNA R71
About the family: R71 is a member of the C/D box family of snoRNAs containing the C (UGAUGA) and D (CUGA) box motifs. Multiple nearly identical copies of this snoRNA have been identified in Arabidopsis, and it is thought to function as a 2'-O-ribose methylation guide for 18S ribosomal RNA.
Source: RNAcentral
AGACCGUGGUGGGGACAACGUCUAAGUAUUUCUUUAAAACACUCCCACACAUAGAAAAGAGAUUCCCCGUUCUUUUGAGUAAAUUGGUAAAGCUUUCCCCUAAGUUG